RNAcentral lists this ribosomal RNA (213 nucleotides) under Acinetobacter baumannii. RNAcentral's name for it is "partial 16S ribosomal RNA". It matches the Rfam family "Bacterial small subunit ribosomal RNA", at positions 1 to 217 of the family's 1533-position model. Lineage: Bacteria; Pseudomonadati; Pseudomonadota; Gammaproteobacteria; Moraxellales; Moraxellaceae. The record is from RNAcentral.
AACUGAAGAGUUUGAUCAUGGCUCAGAUUGAACGCUGGCGGCAGGCUUAACACAUGCAAGUCGAGCGGGGGAAGGUAGCUUGCUACUGGACCUAGCGGCGGACGGGUGAGUAAUGCUUAGGAAUCUGCCUAUUAGUGGGGGACAACAUCUCGAAAGGGAUGCUAAUACCGCAUACGUCCUACGGGAGAAAGCAGGGGAUCUUCGGACCUUGCG